Long non-coding RNA from Balaenoptera acutorostrata (minke whale), 2559 nucleotides. RefSeq lists it as uncharacterized. The transcript is spliced from 17 exons. NCBI's taxonomy places the organism in Eukaryota, Metazoa, Chordata, Mammalia, Artiodactyla, Balaenopteridae. The record is from RefSeq and is a predicted model, not a curated record.
GGUUCACAGAGACGGCAGGAAUGCACAUGCACAGAGGAAAGGCCAUGUGAGGAUUCAGCGAGAAGGCGGCCGUCUGCAAGCCAAGGAGAGAGGCCUCAGACAGAAGCAAACUGCUCUCUGUGAUCUAGGACUGUGAGAAACAGUUGUGGUUUGAAGAGUAACUUUCUUCAGGAAAUUGUGGAGACUCUGCAGCAAUGGCUGAAGGUAUACUCUCCAAGUUACCUAAUGGAAUAGUGGCUACACCCUGUUUUCUGUGACAUGGGAACUUGUCCACGACUUCAACACCACCACUACCAUCACCACCACCAUCAGCCAAGAGACACUUAUCCAGCACCUUCUUUGGAGCACAGCCUGGAAAAUCUAUCAUUUCCCUAUUUCAAAAAAUAGCCCAACUGCAACACAUGAGGAUGGCUCCACUUUUUCUACUGCAGAGGAGGAUGUAUAACUCAGAUGGGGAAAGCAAGCCGUCAGUGUAGGAGUGUGGGUGGCCAGUGAAACUAGAGAAUAAUCCCUGGCCAACAGCUUCAGAGAAAUGGGUACCACAGUCCUACAACCACAUGGAACUGAAUUCUGCCAGCAACAGUGAAUGAGCUUGGAAGUGAAUACAUCCCCAGAGCCUCAAGAAAAGACUACAGCCCUACAGAUGAGGAGAUGCAGGCCCAUGGGUUAAGAGAAUUUCCCAAGUUCUCUUGGUGUAAAGAAGUCUGGCUGCAAAGGGACCCCGAGACUUGAGGAAUAACAUGGUGUUACAUGCUGAAACAACCGGCCCGUGGUCCCCAGGACUGUCGCGGCUUCGGCCGCCGGGGCCCCUCCAGAGCUGGCAGCCUCAGUGAGGUCACCCUCCCCUUGGGCUCCGGGGCACUUCAGUGACGGCGAAAGGAACAGACCCCGAGCCGGGAGUUCCAGCUCUGCGGAAACGCGGGCUCCGUUCUGGGCGAGGAGGUGGAACCGCUCUCUAUUUUACUCUUUUUGAUGUGAUGUGUCUUUGGCUUUGGUAUGCAGGUAAUGGUGGCCUUGUAGAAUGAAUUUGGGAGUGUUCCAUUCUCUUCAACUUUUUGGAAUAGUUUGAGAACGGCUACAACACAACGGAGAUACCUUAAGACCUUGCCAACAGAUUAUGUUGUCAAAGUUUUGGAUUUUUGCCAGUGUAGAUUUAUCCACUGAAAUACUCUGAGAGCAGUAACACACCUCAGUAAAAAUGAAUACUCCUGAUCAGUUCCCACUGAAAGAAAUCAGAGAUCUUCGAGGAAAUUGUUGACUUCAGAUCUGGAGCAUAGAAAAUACAAGAGAUGAUGGCAGGGUUGUAAUUUGGGCAACAUAAAAGGGAAUAGGAAGCCAGAUAUGGACACUGAGACCCUUAGAAAUGGCAUUCAUCGAGCCCCUAAUGUAUGCUAGUUAUAAUUUCUAGUUCCAUCAGCUUUCCUGAAACAACUUUUAUGAAGCAGAGGAAAUUGAUUGGAAAGAAAAUUUGCCAGUGUUAAGCUUGAGCAGGUGGAAAAUGAUACUUCAGGAUUCCAGUCUGGGUGCUGAUGGAACUUAACUAGGUGGACCCUUGUUUCUUGGCUUUUUCAGAGGACCAAUCAAGAUAAAAAGUUGCAGAACAGAGAAUAGCAUUCUUGUUGGAGGUUUACAGGAACAUUGAGACCUGACCUACAUGGACAGCUGCAAGAACAAAGGAUUACAACACCAAGAAGUUUGCAGCAACGAACAACACCCUCGCCUCUUUUAAUAUAAGAGAAGCUGGAAUUCUAACUCUGCUAAGAUGGUCCUUUGGGACACUAGUCCACCGUCUCCUUGGACUGCUGGCUUUCCAAGUAAAGUGCUGUUCCUUGCCCCAGUAACUCGUCCUUUGAUUUAUUGGCCUGUUGUGCAGCCAGCAGUCUCAGACUCAGUAACAAGAGUAUAGUUUUGGGAACAUUUUCAUCAUAUUUACCUGUGGAAUUUUGGUGUUUGGAAUUUUUUUUUGUUGUUUAAUUCCCCUUAGGUGAAAACAGAAACAUGGAAGUGCUGAUAUUAGUGAUAAUAUCGUUAAGAUAAAAUUGUAAAUGAUCAGUUAAACCCAAAGUGUUGCAUCCUUAUUUUCUACUGCAUGUUUAUUGGGCUUAAGCUCAUCAAUUGUCUGUUUGCUUAUCAAAUUAAUAUAAUAAAUUAGAGGUAAUAUAAGGGUCCUUAUAAGUAAAAGAGGAAGCAGGAGAAUCAGUGUUUGAGUGAUACAGCAUGAAAAAGACUCAACUGGCCAUUGCUGGCUUUGAAGAUGGAAGGGGCCAUGAGCCAAGGAAUGUGAGUAGCCUCUCUAAAAGCUGGAAAAGGAAAGGGAAGGAUUCUCCUCUUGGGCCUCCAAAAAGAAAAGACCCCUGCCCACACCUUGACUGUAAUUUAGUGAGACUGCAUCAGAUUUCUGACCUCUAGAACUGUUAUAUAAUAAAUUUUUGUUGUUUUAAGCCAAUAAGUUUGUUACAUCAGCCAUAGAAUACUAGUACACCAUGGAAGUCUUUUUUUUAAGAAUUCCACAAAUAAUAUAUUGGGAAACAUUGUAUUAAAUUAUGCUUUGAAUUUGGA